This 627-nucleotide long non-coding RNA is filed under the name Bos taurus (domestic cattle). RNAcentral describes it as "long non-coding RNA NONBTAT001665". Lineage: Eukaryota; Metazoa; Chordata; Mammalia; Artiodactyla; Bovidae. The record is from RNAcentral.
CACAACUCGGUUUUUUUAAUUAUACCUGUUGAUGUCAUUGAAAAUUUAAGAGUCUUCUUUCAGAAUAAAACGAUGAAUCAAAUGAAAUUAUGGUUCAUGUAUUAACUAAGUGACCAUCAAAAUUAGUUUGGAUGGGAAAGGGAAUAAGAAUUGAUUUCUUCAUGUUCCCCAUCUAGUUCCAAAACAAGAUUUGAGUGUCUUUGGUGCUGUGGAGACUAGGUAAUGUUCAUGGAAGAUAGGGAGUCUUCAAAUAGUUCCCUUGGGAGUCGGUUUUAGCAGACUAAGUUAUGUUUAUGAAUCAGAAGUUUAAAUGUUUGCAGGAUUACUGCACUUUAAUAAUCGACUAAAAAUGCCAGCUGUACUCUCCACUGAGAAAAUGAACUAAGUCCUCUGUCUUUACACUUGUGCUCUUUUGAAAGCUUUUGAUGUAAAUAACACCAGUUGAGAAGUGAGAAACCUUUUAUCUUAAAAAAUGCAGUUUGAGUGAUGGAAGGUUUCCUUUGUAUUUUAAAACAUUUUUACAGUUGAUUGUUCAAAUAUUGACUUUCUGUAAAAACAUUAUGUUAAAUUUAGAGCCUUUGUAGUGCAAUAUCAAUAAAUUUUGCCUGCUUGGGCAGUUUUAAUUAC